Long non-coding RNA from Lacerta agilis (Sand lizard), 154 nucleotides. RefSeq lists it as uncharacterized. Lineage: Eukaryota; Metazoa; Chordata; Lepidosauria; Squamata; Lacertidae. The transcript is spliced from 2 exons. The record is from RefSeq and is a predicted model, not a curated record.
AUGUUCCCCGUCAAACAACCUUCAAGAUUUCCUUGAGGAGGGCAGCAGGGGGAAAGUAGCAGACUGGGAGAAACACAAUCAAGUUUUGGAAACAGCAAAGGAGAACAAAGUACCAGCUGCUUACAAUGAAGCAACUGUAUGCCAAAACAAACAG